AAAAAAACUAUUAUUUAGUUUGAUCAUCAUAGAAAUUUUAAAAUUACACUAUAUAACACAAAUUUAAAUAUUAUUUAUUUUAAAAAUAACUAUAUAUAUAUAAUUUUUAUUUUUAAAUUUAGUUUGCUAAUUAACACGUGCAGCGCUCGUUUGUAGACUAGUAUAUAUAUAUAUAUAUAUAUAUAUAUAUAGAAUUAUGCUACUAUACUAUCAAUAGUACCAAGCCUUUGGUACUAUUGAGUUUUCGGCCGUUGGAUGAAAAAAUGAGCGGUUAGGAUGAUAGUGGUCCCCAGUUAAAUUGAUAGUGGUCCCCUAGGGUUGAGUGGGUGGUUGGUUUAAUAGUAUAAUCUAACGGAUGGAAAUGAUCAAAGGGUAGAUCUAAUGGUAGAAAACUCAAUAGUACCAAGGGCUUGAUACUAUCGUUAGUCUAGUAGCCGGACUCUAUAUAUAUAUAUAUAAACAGGUGGUCCACCGAGGUUAUGUCCAACUCGUCGAGUUUUUACCGUAGCGGCCCUUUUAAUUAGGGGUGGAACUGGGUCGGGCUUGGGUCGAGUAUUACUAUGCCCAAGCCCGGCCCAAAAAAAAUGUUGGGCUUCGUGUCGGGCUUUUAGCCAAUUUUUUAAAAAAAUUAAGGCCCGGCCCAAGCCCAAACCCAAUGCCCAAUACCCAUCAGGCUUUCUGGAAGCCUAUUUUAUGCAUUUAUCAUAUAAUACAUAAAUACUUUUAUUUGUAUAAAAUUAAAAUAAAAUACCUAUUUUUAGUUUUAUCACAUCAAAGAAAUUAAUAUCUAACAUCAAAUAUAUCAUAAUAUAGAACUAAAUAUUUUGUUAAUAUAUAAUAUAUCCUCAUAUAUAUAAGCACAUAUCAUUAAUAACAAUAUAUACUAUAUAUGAUAUACUAUAAAUAAAUAAUAUAUAUAAUUAAAUAUUUUAUUUUGAUAAUUAAUA
RNAcentral lists this long non-coding RNA (947 nucleotides) under Ananas comosus (pineapple). Its description in RNAcentral is "long non-coding RNA (ACOM_LNC035949)". The record is from RNAcentral. Lineage: Eukaryota; Viridiplantae; Streptophyta; Magnoliopsida; Poales; Bromeliaceae.